Molecule: unclassified non-coding RNA, 646 nt
Filed under: uncultured Prochlorococcus sp.
Lineage: Bacteria; Bacillati; Cyanobacteriota; Cyanophyceae; Synechococcales; Prochlorococcaceae
Description: partial 16S-23S ribosomal RNA intergenic spacer; may also contain 16S ribosomal RNA and 23S ribosomal RNA
Rfam family: tRNA (bases 305-377)
Source: RNAcentral
UUGUGGAGGAGGACGCCGAAGGUGGGGCUAAUGACUGGGGUGAAGUCGUAACAAGGCAGCCGUACCGGAAGGUGCGGCUGGAUCACCUCCUAACAGGGAGACAACAAAAUGUUUAAUAUUAUUAUUUUGUCACCUUAGGUCGAUCGGUAUCUCACGUUUUUAAUUUAUUAAGAAUUUCAUUUCCUAAGUUUUUCUAGGUCACACCCAUUAUUUUUCCUGGGCCAUUAGCUCAGGUGGUUAGAGCGCACCCCUGAUAAGGAUGAGGUCCCUGGUUCAAGUCCAGGAUGGCCCAUAUCUCUAUGUUGGGGGUAUAGCUCAGUUGGUAGAGCGCCUGCUUUGCAAGCAGGAUGUCAGCGGUUCGAGUCCGCUUACCUCCACUGAUUACCACCUCUUCCAUAACCGGUAGAAAGGAAAUUUUUUGAGUUGUGAUCAAAUUCUGAAAGAAUCUAGCUUCCUAAUGAAAUUAUUAAGAUGCUGGACUCAUUGAAUUAAUUUCAUUGUUUUCAGAGAACCUUGACAACUGCAUAGAUUAUUUUUAAAGACAAUAAGCAUCUUUAAUGAUGCAGAUUUAUUAUUUGUGCGAAUGCAUUAAUAACAAUUCUAUUAAGCUGAUGCUUCAAUUUUGAAGUUAUUGGUCAAGCUACAA